This 508-nucleotide ribosomal RNA is filed under the name uncultured bacterium. RNAcentral describes it as "partial 16S ribosomal RNA". The stretch from base 12 to 374 matches the Rfam family "Bacterial small subunit ribosomal RNA", at positions 39 to 400 of the family's 1533-position model. The record is from RNAcentral.
GACGAACGCUGGCGGCGUGCUUAACACAUGCAAGUCGAACGGAAAGGCCCUGCUUUUGUGGGGUGCUCGAGUGGCGAACGGGUGAGUAACACGUGAGUAACCUGCCCUUGACUUUGGGAUAACUUCAGGAAACUGGGGCUAAUACCGGAUAGGAGCUCCUGCUGCAUGGUGGGGGUUGGAAAGUUUCGGCGGUUGGGGAUGGACUCGCGGCUUAUCAGCUUGUUGGUGGGGUAGUGGCUUACCAAGGCUUUGACGGGUAGCCGGCCUGAGAGGGUGACCGGCCACAGGGGUGCUGAGGGACCGCCGAGACGGCGGCGGGAGGAAGGGGGGGGUAAUAUUGAGCAAGGGGCGGAGGGCGGAUGCAGGAGCGCGGCGGGGGGGAUGAGGGCCGUGGGGGUGAAACGCGUGGUCGGCGUGGAGGGGGGGAGGGGGGGGAUAGUGGGUAAAGAAGCACGGGAGAAGUACGUGCGGGCAGCGGGGGGAAGGAGGGAAGAGAAAACGGAUGAAC